UUCCCGGUGGUGUAAUGGUAGCACUGCAGAUUCUGGCUCUGUUAGUGGGGGUUCAAGUCCUCCCCGGGAAG
Molecule: transfer RNA, 71 nt
Filed under: Spirochaetaceae bacterium
Lineage: Bacteria; Pseudomonadati; Spirochaetota; Spirochaetia; Spirochaetales; Spirochaetaceae
Description: tRNA-Gln
Rfam family: tRNA
About the family: Transfer RNA (tRNA) molecules are approximately 80 nucleotides in length. Their secondary structure includes four short double-helical elements and three loops (D, anti-codon, and T loops).
Source: RNAcentral